RNAcentral lists this ribosomal RNA (164 nucleotides) under uncultured bacterium. Its description in RNAcentral is "partial 16S ribosomal RNA". It matches the Rfam family "Bacterial small subunit ribosomal RNA", at positions 1337 to 1500 of the family's 1533-position model. The record is from RNAcentral.
AGUAAUCGCAGAUCAGCAUGCUGUGGUGAAUACGUUCCCGGGCCUUGUACACACCGCCCGUCACACCAUGGGAGUCGGUAACACCCAAAGUUGGUAGUCUAACCGCAAGGAGGACGCCGCCUAAGGUGGGAUUGAUGACUGGGGUGAAGUCGUAACAAGGUACC